UCAUGAAAGCUGGUUGUACUAGAAGUCACUGAGCUAACCGCAAGGAGGCAGGUGCCCAAGGUAUGACUGGUGAUUGGGUG
Molecule: ribosomal RNA, 80 nt
Filed under: uncultured bacterium
Lineage: Bacteria
Description: partial 16S ribosomal RNA
Source: RNAcentral